AACGAACGCUGGCGGCAGGCUUAACACAUGCAAGUCGAACGCCCCGCAAGGGGAGUGGCAGACGGGUGAGUAACGCGUGGGAAUCUACCCAGAUCUACGGAACAACAGUUGGAAACGACUGCUAAUACCGUAUACGCCCUACGGGGGAAAGAUUUAUCGGAUUUGGAUGAGCCCGCGUAAGAUUAGCUAGUUGGUGGGGUAAUGGCCUACCAAGGCGACGAUCUUUAGCUGGUCUGAGAGGAUGAUCAGCCACACUGGGACUGAGACACGGCCCAGACUCCUACGGGAGGCAGCAGUGGGGAAUAUUGGACAGUGGGCGCAAGCCUGAUCCAGCCAUGCCGCGUGAGUGAUGAAGGCCCUAGGGUUGUAAAGCUCUUUCACCGGUGAAGAUAAUGACGGUAACCGGAGAAGAAGCCCCGGCUAACUUCGUGCCAGCAGCCGCCGUAA
This 447-nucleotide ribosomal RNA is filed under the name uncultured bacterium. RNAcentral's name for it is "partial 16S ribosomal RNA". It matches the Rfam family "Bacterial small subunit ribosomal RNA", at positions 29 to 523 of the family's 1533-position model. The record is from RNAcentral.